GAUGAACGCUGGCGGCGUGCCUAAUACAUGCAAGUCGAGCGAACAGACGAGGAGCUUGCUCCUCUGACGUUAGCGGCGGACGGGUGAGUAACACGUGGAUAACCUACCUAUAAGACUGGGAUAACUUCGGGAAACCGGAGCUAAUACCGGAUAAUAUAUUGAACCGCAUGGUUCAAUAGUGAAAGACGGUUUUGCUGUCACUUAUAGAUGGAUCCGCGCCGCAUUAGCUAGUUGGUAAGGUAACGGCUUACCAAGGCAACGAUGCGUAGCCGACCUGAGAGGGUGAUCGGCCACGCUGGAACUGAGACACGGUCCAGACUCCUACGGGAGGCAGCAGUAGGGAAUCUUCCGCAAUGGGCGAAAGCCUGACGGAGCAACGCCGCGUGAGUGAUGAAGGUCUUCGGAUCGUAAAACUCUGUUAUUAGGGAAGAACAAAUGUGUAAGUAACUAUGCACGUCUUGACGGUACCUAAUCAGAAAGCCACAGCUAACUACGUG
Molecule: ribosomal RNA, 497 nt
Filed under: uncultured bacterium
Lineage: Bacteria
Description: partial 16S ribosomal RNA
Rfam family: Bacterial small subunit ribosomal RNA
Source: RNAcentral